Molecule: microRNA precursor, 77 nt
Organism: Laticauda laticaudata (blue-ringed sea krait)
Lineage: Eukaryota; Metazoa; Chordata; Lepidosauria; Squamata; Elapidae
Source: Ensembl
CCAAGCCUCCCGUGCCUACUGAGCUGAUACUCAGUUGUUUUGAAAAAACUGGCUCAGUUCAGCAGGAACAGGAGUCC